RNAcentral lists this small nuclear RNA (160 nucleotides) under Microcebus murinus (gray mouse lemur). RNAcentral describes it as "U2 spliceosomal RNA (ENSMICG00000023565.3)". It matches the Rfam family "U2 spliceosomal RNA". From Rfam's summary of the family: U2 is a small nuclear RNA (snRNA) component of the spliceosome (involved in pre-mRNA splicing). Lineage: Eukaryota; Metazoa; Chordata; Mammalia; Primates; Cheirogaleidae. The record is from Rfam by way of RNAcentral.
AUCCCUUCUUGGCCUUUUGUCUAAGAUCAUGUGUAGUAUAUGUUCUUAUUGGUUUAAUAGUUAACAUACAUUAAAUGGAUUUUUAGAGCAGGGAGAAGAAGGAAUAGGAGCUUGCUCUGUCCACUCCAUGCUUCAACCUUUCAAGAAUGGGGCACCACCC